This is a transfer RNA of 74 nucleotides. It matches the Rfam family "tRNA". Rfam says of the family: Transfer RNA (tRNA) molecules are approximately 80 nucleotides in length. Their secondary structure includes four short double-helical elements and three loops (D, anti-codon, and T loops).
GGGCCCGUGGCGUAACAGGAGAGCGCAUCCGGCUUCGGACCGGAGGUGUGCGGGUUCGAAUCCCGUCGGGCCCA